Molecule: ribosomal RNA, 253 nt
Filed under: uncultured bacterium
Lineage: Bacteria
Description: partial 16S ribosomal RNA
Rfam family: Bacterial small subunit ribosomal RNA
Source: RNAcentral
UACGUAGGUGGCGAGCGUUGUCCGGAUUUACUGGACGUAAAGAGCGCGCAGGCGGCUGGUCAAGUCCGAUGUGAAAGCUCCCGGCUUAACUGGGAAAUUGCAUCGGAAACUGAUCGGCUGGAAGGUGGGAGAGGGUAGCGGAAUUCCCGGUGUAGUGGUGAAAUGCGUAGAUAUCAGGAGGAACACCGAUGGCGAAGGCAGCACUCUGGGACGUGACUGACGCUGAGACGCGAAAGCGUGGGGAGCAAACAGG